RNAcentral lists this ribosomal RNA (479 nucleotides) under uncultured bacterium. RNAcentral's name for it is "bacterial SSU rRNA". It matches the Rfam family "Bacterial small subunit ribosomal RNA", at positions 25 to 518 of the family's 1533-position model. The record is from RNAcentral.
CAGGACGAACGCUGGCGGCACGCUUAACACAUGCAAGUCGAACGGAGUUAUCGAGAGCUUGCUUUGAUAACUUAGUGGCGGACGGGUGAGUAACACGUGAGCAAUCUGCCCUUAAGAGGGGGAUAGCAGUUGGAAACGACUGAUAAUACCGCAUAAGAUAGUAGUACCGCAUGGUACAGCUAUAAAAGAUUUAUCGCUUAAGGAUGAGCUCGCGUCUGAUUAGCUAGUUGGUGAGGUAACGGCUCACCAAGGCAACGAUCAGUAGCCGGACUGAGAGGUUGGACGGCCACAUUGGGACUGAGACACGGCCCAGACUCCUACGGGAGGCAGCAGUGGGGAAUAUUGCACAAUGGAGGAAACUCUGAUGCAGCGAUGCCGCGUGAGGGAAGAAGGUUUUAGGAUUGUAAACCUCUGUUGACAGGGACGAUAAUGACGGUACCUGUUGAGGAAGCUCCGGCUAACUACGUGCCAGCCGCUGC